GCUUAACCGAGGAGGGUCAUUGGAAACUGUCUUUCUUGAGUGGGAAAGAAGAGAGGAACUCCAUGUGUAGCGGUGGAAUGCGUAGAUAUAUGGAAGAACACCAGUGGGGAAGGCGGCUCUCUGGUCUGUAACUGACGCUGAGGCUCGAAAGCGUGGGGAGCGAACAGGAUUAGAUACCCUGGUAGUCCACGCCGUAAACGAUGAGUGCUAAGUGUUGGAAGGUUUCCGCCCCUUAGUGCUGCAGCUAACGCAUUAAGCACUCCCCCUGGGGAGUACGGCCGCAAGACUGAAACUCAAAGGAAUUGACGGGGGCCCGCACAACCGGUGGAGCAUGUGGUUUAAUUCUUAGCAACGCGAAGAACCUUACCAGGUCUUGACAUCUUCUGCCAACCCUAGAGAUUAGGCGUUCCCCUCUGGGACACAAAGACAGGUGGUGCAUGGUUGUCGUCGCUCGUGUCGUGAGAUGUUUGGUUAAGUCCCGCAACGAGCGCAACCCUUGAUAUUAGUUGCCAGCAUUCAUUUGGGUACUCUCACGAGACUGACUGUGACAAACCGGAACGAAGGUGGGGAUGACGUCCAUCAUCAUGCCCCUUAUGAUAUGAGCUACACUCGUGCUAUGAUGGGCAGGACAAAAA
Molecule: ribosomal RNA, 635 nt
Filed under: uncultured bacterium
Lineage: Bacteria
Description: bacterial SSU rRNA
Rfam family: Bacterial small subunit ribosomal RNA
Source: RNAcentral